This 459-nucleotide ribosomal RNA is filed under the name uncultured bacterium. Its description in RNAcentral is "partial 16S ribosomal RNA". It matches the Rfam family "Bacterial small subunit ribosomal RNA", at positions 338 to 795 of the family's 1533-position model. The record is from RNAcentral.
CCUACGGGAGGCAGCAGUGAGGAAUAUUGGUCAAUGGGCGUGAGCCUGAACCAGCCAAGUCGCGUGAGGGAAGACUGCCCUAUGGGUUGUAAACCUCUUUUGUCGGGGAGCAAUUGACGCUACGUGUCGCGUUAUGAAUGUAACCUAAGAAAAAGCAUCGGCUAACUCCGUGCCAGCAGCCGCGGUAAUACGGAGGAUUCGAGCGUUAUCCGGAUUUAUUGGGUUUAAAGGGUUCGUAGGCGGGAGAGCAAGUCAGCGGUAAAAUUUCGGGGCUCAACCCCGGUCCGCCGUUGAAACUGGUGUUCUUGAGUGGGCGAGAAGUAUGCGGAAUGCGUGGUGUAGCGGUGAAAUGCAUAGAUAUCACGCAGAACUCCGAUUGCGAAGGCAGCAUACCGGCGCCAUACUGACGCUGAAGCACGAAAGCGUGGGUAUCGAACAGGAUUAGAUACCCUUGUAGUC